GAUUAACGCUGGCGGCGUGCAUAACACAUGCAAGUCGAACGAUGAGACUUUAAUGACCCCUUCGGGGAGAAUUAAAGCGGAUUAGUGGCGAACGGGUGAGUAACGCGUGAGUAACCUGCCUUACACAAGGGGAUAGCCUUUGGAAACGAAGAAUAAUACCCUAUAAAACCAUAAAAGCACAUGCAAUUAUGGUCAAAGUGAUAGCGGUGUAAGAUGGACUUGCGUCUGAUUAGCUAGUUGGUGAGAUAAAAGCCCACCAAGGCAACGAUCAGUAGCCGGCUUGAGAGAGUGUACGGCCACAUUGGGACUGAGACACGGCCCAGACUCCUACGGGAGGCAGCAGUGGGGAAGUUUGCACAAUGGGGGAAACCCUGAUGCAGCGACGCCGCGUGAUUUAGAAGGCCUUCGGGUUGUAAAAAUCUUUUGUAUAGGAAGAAAAUGACAGUACUAUACGAAUAAGGUCCGGCUAAUUACGUG
RNAcentral lists this ribosomal RNA (477 nucleotides) under uncultured bacterium. Its description in RNAcentral is "partial 16S ribosomal RNA". It matches the Rfam family "Bacterial small subunit ribosomal RNA", at positions 28 to 507 of the family's 1533-position model. The record is from RNAcentral.